This 579-nucleotide ribosomal RNA is filed under the name Dirkmeia churashimaensis. Its description in RNAcentral is "partial large subunit ribosomal RNA". It matches the Rfam family "Eukaryotic large subunit ribosomal RNA", at positions 87 to 647 of the family's 3401-position model. Lineage: Eukaryota; Fungi; Basidiomycota; Ustilaginomycetes; Ustilaginales; Ustilaginaceae. The record is from RNAcentral.
CGGCGAGUGAAGAGGGAAGAGCCCAAGAUUGAAAGCUGGCGUCUUCGGCGUCCGCAUUGUAAUCUCAAGAAGUGUUUUCCGCUUCGGACCAUGCCUAAGUCCCUUGGAAAAGGGCAUCAUAGAGGGUGAUAAUCCCGUACAUGGCAUGGAGCGCCCGAAGCUUUGUGAUACGCUUUCUAAGAGUCGAGUUGUUUGGGAAUGCAGCUCAAAAUGGGUGGUAAAUGCCAUCUAAGGCUAAAUAUUGGGGAGAGACCGAUAGCGAACAAGUACAGUGAUGGAAAGAUGAAAAGAACUUUGAAAAGAGAGUUAAACAGUACGUGAAAUUGCCAAAAGGGAAGGGUAGGAGGUCAGAGAUGCGGCCUGGGAUUCAGCCUUGCUUUUGCUUGGUGUUUUUCCCAGAUUGCAGGCCAACGUCGGUUUUGGGCACUGGAGAAGGGUAGGAGGAACGUGGCACCUCUCGGGGUGUGUUAUAGCCUCCUACUGGAUACAGCGACCGAGACCGAGGACAGCAGCGUACUCGCAAGAGCGGGCCUUCGGGCACCUUUACGCUUAGGGCGUUGGCAUAAUGGCCCUCUACCA